CGGUCCACAGUUGAGGGCAGAUGUAGUGCACGUGUGCGUCGAUCGCGCCCGCGGUCACGAUCAUCUUUUCUCCAGCCAUCACCUCGGUAUUGACGCCCACGAUCAUGCCUGGCGUAACCCCUUGCAUCACGUCGGGGUUGCCUCCUUUGCCAAUUCCAACGAUGUGGUUCUUCUUGAUGCCGAUGUCGGCUUUGUAGAUGCCGUUCCAGUCGAUAAUCAGCGCAUUGGUGAUGACGAGAUCGAGCGUCAUAUCGUCAGGUAGACCCGUCGCUUGUCCCAUUCCUUCA
Molecule: small RNA, 287 nt
Filed under: Microbotryum lychnidis-dioicae p1A1 Lamole
Lineage: Eukaryota; Fungi; Basidiomycota; Microbotryomycetes; Microbotryales; Microbotryaceae
Description: Microbotryum violaceum p1A1 Lamole 5' ureB small RNA
Rfam family: 5' ureB small RNA
Source: Rfam by way of RNAcentral